CCCUUAGAUGUUCUGGGCAGCACGCGCGCUACAAUGGUCUUCGCAAACGGAUGCAUUCUCGAAGGAGAAUGCCAAUCUUGGAAUCUAUGCCUUGGUCGGGACAGUUGCUUGCAAUUUUUCGACUCGAACCAGGAAUUCCUUGUAAUCGUGAUUCAUCACAUCACGAUGAAUACGUCCCUGCCCUUUGUACACACCGCCCGUCGCUCCUACCGAUCGAAGAGUUAGGUGAAUUGUUUUGAUCGAUAGGAUUUGACUAUGGUCAACUCUCGUUGUGAAAUUCUGUGAAGCUGACUGUUUAGAGGAAGGAAAAGUCGUAACA
Molecule: ribosomal RNA, 319 nt
Filed under: uncultured eukaryote
Lineage: Eukaryota
Description: partial 18S ribosomal RNA
Rfam family: Eukaryotic small subunit ribosomal RNA
Source: RNAcentral